RNAcentral lists this ribosomal RNA (253 nucleotides) under uncultured bacterium. Its description in RNAcentral is "partial 16S ribosomal RNA". It matches the Rfam family "Bacterial small subunit ribosomal RNA", at positions 524 to 776 of the family's 1533-position model. The record is from RNAcentral. RNAcentral also lists the same sequence under 1 other name.
UACGAAGGGGGCGAGCGUUGUUCGGAAUUACUGGGCGUAAAGGGCGCGUAGGCGGCCGAUCAAGUUAGAUGUGAAAGUCCUGGGCUUAACCUGGGGACUGCAUUUGAUACUGAUUGGCUUGAAUUCGGGAGAGGAUAGCGGAAUUCCCAGUGUAGAGGUGAAAUUCGUAGAUAUUGGGAAGAACACCGGUGGCGAAGGCGGCUAUCUGGACCGACAUUGACGCUGAGGCGCGAAAGCGUGGGGAGCAAACAGG